AUUGAACGCUGGCGGCAGGCCUAACACAUGCAAGUCGAACGAGUGGCGGACGGGUGAGUAAUGUCUGGGAAACUGCCUGAUGGAGGGGGAUAACUACUGGAAACGGUAGCUAAUACCGCAUACCAUCAGAUGUGCCCAGAUGGGAUUAGCUAGUUGGUGGGGUAACGGCUCACCAAGGCGACGAUCACUAGCUGGGCUGAUAGGAUGACCACCCAAACGGGAACUGUGACACGGUCGAGACUCCUACGGAAGGCAGCAGUGGGGAAUAUUGCACGAUGGGGGCUAGCCUGAUGCAGCCAUGCCGGGUGUAUUAAGAAGGCCUUCGGGUUGUAAAGUACUUUCAACAGGGAGGCGUUACCCGCAGAAGAGGCACCGGCUAACACGGUGCCAGCCGCCGCGGGAAUUC
RNAcentral lists this ribosomal RNA (406 nucleotides) under uncultured bacterium. RNAcentral's name for it is "partial 16S ribosomal RNA". It matches the Rfam family "Bacterial small subunit ribosomal RNA", at positions 30 to 526 of the family's 1533-position model. The record is from RNAcentral.